Molecule: ribosomal RNA, 695 nt
Filed under: uncultured bacterium
Lineage: Bacteria
Description: bacterial SSU rRNA
Rfam family: Bacterial small subunit ribosomal RNA
Source: RNAcentral
CAUGCAGUCGAGCGGAUGAGGGAGCUUGCUCCUGGAUUCAGCGGCGGACGGGUGAGUAAUCGCCUAGGAAUCUGCCUGGUAGUGGGGGAUAACGUUCCGAAAGGAACGCUAAUACCGCAUACGUCCUACGGGAGAAAGCAGGGGACCUUCGGGCCUUGCGCUAUCAGAUGAGCCUAGGUCGGAUUAGCUAGUUGGUGAGGUAAUGGCUCACCAAGGCGACGAUCCGUAACUGGUCUGAGAGGAUGAUCAGUCACACUGGAACUGAGACACGGUCCAGACUCCUACGGGAGGCAGCAGUGGGGAAUAUUGGACAAUGGGCGAAAGCCUGAUCCAGCCAUGCCGCGUGUGAAGAAGGUCUUCGGAUUGUAAAGCACUUUAAGUUGGGAGGAAGGGCUGUAGGCUAAUAUCCUGCGGUUUUGACGUUACCAACAGAAUAAAGCACCGGCUAACUUCGUGCCAGCAGCCGCGGUAAUACGAAGGGUGCAAGCCUUAAUCGGAAUUACUGGGCGUAAAGCGCGCCGUAGGUGGUUCGUUAAGUUGAUGUGAAAGCCCCGGCUCACCUGGGAACUGCAUCCAAAACUGGCGAGCUAGAGUACGGUAGAAGGUAGUGGAAUUUCCUGGGUAGCGGUGAAUGCGUAAUAUAGAAAGGACCCCGUGGCGAAGCGACUUACCUGAAUGAUCUGACACUGAAGUGC